GACGAACGCUGGCGGCGUGCUUAACACAUGCAAGUCGAGCGGAAAGGCCCUUCGGGGUACUCGAGCGGCGAACGGGUGAGUAACACGUGAGUAACCUGCCCCAGACUUUGGGAUAACCCUCGGAAACGGGGGCUAAUACCGGAUACGACACAGCUUCGCAUGGGGUCUGUGUGGAAAGUUUUUCGGUUUGGGAUGGGCUCGCGGCCUAUCAGCUUGUUGGUGGGGUGAUGGCCUACCAAGGCGACGACGGGUAGCGGGCCUGAGAGGGCGACCGGCCACACUGGGACUGAGACACGGCCCAGACUCCUACGGGAGGCAGCAGUGGGGAAUAUUGCACAAUGGGCGGAAGCCUGAUGCAGCGACGCCGCGUGAGGGAUGACGGCCUUCGGGUUGUAAACCUCUUUCAGCAGGGACGAAGCGUAAGUGACGGUACCUGCAGAAGAAGCGCCGGCCAACUACGUG
RNAcentral lists this ribosomal RNA (462 nucleotides) under uncultured bacterium. Its description in RNAcentral is "partial 16S ribosomal RNA". It matches the Rfam family "Bacterial small subunit ribosomal RNA", at positions 28 to 507 of the family's 1533-position model. The record is from RNAcentral.